Molecule: small nuclear RNA, 18 nt
Filed under: Arabidopsis thaliana (thale cress)
Lineage: Eukaryota; Viridiplantae; Streptophyta; Magnoliopsida; Brassicales; Brassicaceae
Description: snRNA_09993
Source: RNAcentral
CGAGUCGGGUUGUUUGGG